AUCAAAAACCAGAGCAUCAUCCUCUUACUCUCCAGCACCACUACCAACUAAACAACCAUCUCCUCCUCCGCGUUCUAUCCAUCAUAUCAAGCCUCCGGCUUCUCACUCACCACCACCUAGAGUGCCUUACUUUCCUUAUUACCAUAAAAACCUUUCCCCGCCUCCACCAACGCCCGUUUACAAGUACAAUUCUCCGCCACCUUCUCCUCCAAUGCACUUGCCUCGACCUAUUGUGCCUUACUUUCCUAAUUACUACCACGGACCACCACCACCACCAUACGCUUAUAAACGCCCACCACCUCUACCACCUCCACCCCCAGUGCACUCACGACCUAUUGUGCCUUACUUUCCUUAUUACUAUCAUGGACCUCCAUCACCACCCAAGUACAAGUCGAAGUCUCUACCACCUUCUACUCCAAUACACUCGCCCCCACAAA
Molecule: long non-coding RNA, 437 nt
Filed under: Daucus carota (carrot)
Lineage: Eukaryota; Viridiplantae; Streptophyta; Magnoliopsida; Apiales; Apiaceae
Description: long non-coding RNA (DCAR_LNC003247)
Source: RNAcentral